RNAcentral lists this long non-coding RNA (228 nucleotides) under Piliocolobus tephrosceles (Ugandan red Colobus). RNAcentral's name for it is "lncRNA (ENSPTEG00000000924.1)". Lineage: Eukaryota; Metazoa; Chordata; Mammalia; Primates; Cercopithecidae. The record is from RNAcentral.
UUUGUCUUAAAAAAAAAAAAAAAAAAAAAAAAAAAAAAAAAAAAAAAAAAAAAAAAAAAAAAAAAAAAAAAAAAAAAAGUAACAAAAGAAAAGGAAACAAUGAUAUUUUAUGGAUAUAACAUUAUGUAUUUAUUUAUAAACAGAUAAUAUGGAUGUGUAUGUGUGUGUGUCUAUGUGUAUUUGAGAUGUUUUUAAAUAAAAAUAUGAACAUACUAUAAGUAUUUUACA